RNAcentral lists this ribosomal RNA (286 nucleotides) under uncultured Rickettsia sp. RNAcentral's name for it is "partial 16S ribosomal RNA". It matches the Rfam family "Bacterial small subunit ribosomal RNA", at positions 31 to 331 of the family's 1533-position model. The record is from RNAcentral. Lineage: Bacteria; Pseudomonadati; Pseudomonadota; Alphaproteobacteria; Rickettsiales; Rickettsiaceae.
GAACGCUAUCGGUAUGCUUAACACAUGCAAGUCGAACGGACUAAUUGGGGCUUGCUCCAAUUAGUUAGUGGCAGACGGGUGAGUAACAUGUGGGAAUCUACCCAUCAGUACGGAAUAACUUUUAGAAAUAAAAGCUAAUACCGUAUAUUCUCUACGGAGGAAAGAUUUAUCGCUGAUGGAUGAGCCCGCGUCAGAUUAGGUAGUUGGUGAGGUAAUGGCUCACCAAGCCGACGAUCUGUAGCUGGUCUGAGAGGAUGAUCAGCCACACUGGGACUGAGACACGGCC